RNAcentral lists this ribosomal RNA (253 nucleotides) under uncultured bacterium. RNAcentral describes it as "partial 16S ribosomal RNA". It matches the Rfam family "Bacterial small subunit ribosomal RNA", at positions 524 to 776 of the family's 1533-position model. The record is from RNAcentral.
UACGGAGGGUGCAAGCGUUAAUCGGAAUUACUGGGCGUAAAGCGUGCGUAGGUGGUUUGAUAAGUUAACUGUGAAAUACCUGGGCUCAACCUGGGUUGGUCAGUUAAGACUGUUAGACUCGAGUAUGGGAGAGGGUAGUGGAAUUUCCGGUGUAGCGGUGAAAUGCGUAGAGAUCGGAAGGAACACCAGUGGCGAAGGCGGCUACCUGGACUAAUACUGACACUGAGGUACGAAAGCGUGGGGAGCAAACAGG